GUUUGAUCAUGGCUCAGGAUGAACGCUAGCGGGAGGCUUAACACAUGCAAGUCGAGGGGCAGCAUAAGGUAGCAAUACUUUGAUGGCGACCGGCGCACGGGUGAGUAACGCGUAUGCAACCUACCCUGUACAGGGGGAUAACCCGGAGAAAUUCGGACUAAUAUCCCAUAAAGAUAUCUGGAGGCAUCUUUGGAUAUUUAAAGCUCAGGCGGUACGGGAUGGGCAUGCGUAACAUUAGCUAGUUGGCAGGGUAAAGGCCUACCAAGGCAUUGAUGUUUAGGGGUCCUGAGAGGGUGAUCCCCCACACUGGUACUGAGACACGGACCAGACUCCUACGGGAGGCAGCAGUGAGGAAUAUUGGUCAAUGGGCGCAAGCCUGAACCAGCCAUCCCGCGUGAAGGAAGAAGGCGCUAUGCGUUGUAAACUUCUUUUCCAGGGGAAUAAAAUUUUGUACGUGUACGAAAUUGAAGGUACCCUGGGAAUAAGCAUCGGCUAACUCUGUGCCAGCAGCCGCGGUAAUACGGAGGAUGCGAGCGUUAUCCGGAUUUAUUGGGUUUAAAGGGUGCGUAGGCGGAAAAAUAAGUCAGUGGUGAAAACCUGCAGCUUAACUGUGGAACUGCCAUUGAUACUGUUAUUCUUGAGUAUGGUCAAGGUAGGCGGAAUGUGUAAUGUAGCGGUGAAAUGCUUAGAUAUUACACAGAACACCGAUUGCGAAGGCAGCUUACUGGACCAAAACUGACGCUGAUGCACGAAAGCGUGGGGAUCGAACAGGAUUAGAUACCCUGGUAGUCCACGCCGUAAACGAUGAUCACUCGCUGUUAGCGAUACACAGUUAGCGGCUAAGCAAAAGCAUUAAGUGAUCCACCUGGGGAGUACGGCC
This 880-nucleotide ribosomal RNA is filed under the name uncultured bacterium. Its description in RNAcentral is "bacterial SSU rRNA". It matches the Rfam family "Bacterial small subunit ribosomal RNA", at positions 11 to 887 of the family's 1533-position model. The record is from RNAcentral.